AUCAGAAUUCAAGACCCCCUUCCCGUAACGUCCUAGUCAGGGCCCUUAGUCCCAGCUUUUCUAGAGCCCCUCACCCUGGGAAUGCUCCUGUUUCUCAGCUAAAUUCCUCCGCUGGAGUGACCCACCCUGUUGCUCUCUCACAGGCACCCGCAUGAGGGGCUGGCUCCUCCCCGUGAAUUCUGGGCACAGACACCCAGACCUGAGCAGGCCCCUCACCCCACAGCGACUGGGGAGCCGGAGCCCGAGUCCCUCCCACCUGCUCCCUCGGUUUCUGAGGGUCUGUCUCAUCCUGCAGCUGGACAGACGUGAUCUUCAGCCCCAAGUUACAGACGCUUAGAGAAGCUGGAGACUUGCACAAUGUCUCAGAGGAAAGAGAGCCAGAACCUGGACCCGUGUUGUACCCCAACCAAACCCUCCAUGGUGGAAGGAAUAGGAGUGGGAAGGGGAGGAGGAGACAUAUGGUCCAGGAGGUUCCAUAUGUACCCACACAUGGACCUCAAAGAGGCCCCCACAGCAAGACAGCAAAUGACAUCCACAGUCACAGAUCACGGAGUGAUUUCAGAUGAAGAUGGUGCUGGCAGUUUCCCCAUCAGCGCAAUGGAGUUUGAGCAAAGGAUCUCACUGGAGAAGUCGCAGCGACAGUGGAUCUAAGAGCAGAGGGCAAGGGCUGCCUGAGCCUUGUGAAGCUCAAUUCUGCCCCCUGGUGCCCAGAAUGCCGCGCCAGCAAUGGGAUGCAGGAAGAAGAGGCAGGAGACACCUGAGGUCUCUUACCUUUUCCAAGCUACUCAGACCUCCCUCUUACAGGGCAGGGAACACAGGGCACCAGCCCUACUAACCCAAUCUGAGGGGAAACUCUGAGGCUCCCUCUCCUGCAGAGAUCUCAGACUCUGUGGUAGAGUUGGUGUGGGGGGACACGUGACGUCAG
RNAcentral lists this long non-coding RNA (925 nucleotides) under Homo sapiens (human). RNAcentral's name for it is "non-protein coding LINC01398:3". The record is from RNAcentral. Lineage: Eukaryota; Metazoa; Chordata; Mammalia; Primates; Hominidae.